RNAcentral lists this long non-coding RNA (352 nucleotides) under Hordeum vulgare. Its description in RNAcentral is "long non-coding RNA (HVUL_LNC007021)". Lineage: Eukaryota; Viridiplantae; Streptophyta; Magnoliopsida; Poales; Poaceae. The record is from RNAcentral.
UUCUACCUCCACCACAAGCGGUGCCUGGACGAGGCUCCACCUCAUCUUGAUGUCUCGCUCGCCGUCAUCUCGUUGGCCCGUUGAGACGCCAUGGGCGGACUCUGUUGCAGCAAAAUCAUCUCGUCGUCGUCACCGGUCUCACCUCCACCAUGAUGAUUGUAGCAAAUAAAUUACCGGUAGUUUUGCUCAUUCUUUAGGGAUAUAGUUUCGCAUUUGAAUUUUAUGAGUUUUGAUUGAACGGACUUGUAUUCGUAGAUUUAAAAAAUAGGCCAAUUGGCAGUGUCCAAAUAAUAUGUGCAACAAUUUUUAGCUCUUAAUAUUUGUUGGGGAACGUCGUAUGGGAAACAAAAAU